GUGGGGAAUCUUGCGCAAUGCGCGAAAGCGUGACGCAGCAACGCCGCGUGGGGGAAGACGGCCUUCGGGUUGUAAACCCCUUUCAGGAGGGACGAAGGUUCACCGGUGAAUAGCCGUGUGGAUUGACGGUACCUCCAGAAGAAGCUCCGGCUAACUACGUGCCAGCAGCCGCGGUAAUACGUAGGGAGCAAGCGUUGUCCGGAAUCAUUGGGCGUAAAGCGCGCGUAGGCGGCCCUGUAAGUCCGUUGUGAAAGUCAAAGGCUCAACCUUUGAAAGCCGAUGGAUACUGCAGGGCUAGAGUCCGGAAGAGGCGAGUGGAAUUCCUGGUGUAGCGGUGGAAUGCGCAGAUAUCAGGAGGAACACCAAUAGCGAAGGCAGCUCGCUGGGACGGUACUGACGCUAAGGCGCGAAAGCGUGGGGAGCGAACAGGAUUAGAAACCCCAGUAGUCC
RNAcentral lists this ribosomal RNA (450 nucleotides) under uncultured bacterium. RNAcentral's name for it is "bacterial SSU rRNA". It matches the Rfam family "Bacterial small subunit ribosomal RNA", at positions 354 to 796 of the family's 1533-position model. The record is from RNAcentral.